Molecule: long non-coding RNA, 354 nt
Organism: Gossypium arboreum
Lineage: Eukaryota; Viridiplantae; Streptophyta; Magnoliopsida; Malvales; Malvaceae
Exons: 2
Source: RefSeq, a predicted model, not a curated record
ACAUACUAGUUAUAUUUGUUCUUCAUUUGCCGAAACUAAACAAAAAUAAAAAGAAAGAACACAAGGCUAGGGUUCGGCCAAAUUGGAGCUUAAUUAAGAUUUUGAAUUCAAGUUACAAGCUCGGGGAUCGUCAGCAAAGUCUAUCACAUUAUCUACAGCUUCGAUAUUUAAAUAAAUCAAGCUCAUAUUAUGGCAUGUAUAGACUGGAACAAAAUUUUGAAAUGUUGGAUUUUGGUUAUGUAACUAAGGCCAUGCGAAAAAUGGCUUGCUAUUUAUGUUUAAAUUUGUUUUUAUGUGUGCUUAGCUAUAAUGUUUUAUGACCUUGAUUUUGAAAUAUGCGGAAAUGUUUGAUUA